AAACUUCACACGAUCUCUGGUUCUGCAUCGAUGAAGACGCAGCGAUGCGAUAAGUAG
Molecule: ribosomal RNA, 57 nt
Filed under: uncultured Cenococcum
Lineage: Eukaryota; Fungi; Ascomycota; Dothideomycetes; Gloniales; Gloniaceae
Description: partial 5.8S ribosomal RNA
Source: RNAcentral